This 73-nucleotide transfer RNA is filed under the name Sphingobacteriales bacterium. RNAcentral describes it as "tRNA-Met". It matches the Rfam family "tRNA". Rfam says of the family: Transfer RNA (tRNA) molecules are approximately 80 nucleotides in length. Their secondary structure includes four short double-helical elements and three loops (D, anti-codon, and T loops). Further hydrogen bonds mediate the characteristic L-shaped molecular structure. tRNAs have two regions of fundamental functional importance: the anti-codon, which is responsible for specific mRNA codon recognition, and the 3' end, to which the tRNAs corresponding amino acid is attached (by aminoacyl-tRNA synthetases). tRNAs cope with the degeneracy of the genetic code in two manners: having more than one tRNA (with a specific anti-codon) for a particular amino acid; and 'wobble' base-pairing, i.e. permitting non-standard base-pairing at the 3rd anti-codon position. The record is from RNAcentral. Lineage: Bacteria; Pseudomonadati; Bacteroidota; Sphingobacteriia; Sphingobacteriales.
CGCAACGUGGAGAAGCGGUCAUCUCGCUGGGCUCAUAACCCGGAGAUCGUUGGUUCGAAUCCAACCGUUGCUA